This 85-nucleotide transfer RNA is filed under the name Felis catus (domestic cat). It matches the Rfam family "tRNA". Rfam says of the family: Transfer RNA (tRNA) molecules are approximately 80 nucleotides in length. The record is from Rfam by way of RNAcentral. Lineage: Eukaryota; Metazoa; Chordata; Mammalia; Carnivora; Felidae.
GCCUGAGUGGCUCAGUCGGUUGAGCAUCUGACUUAGGCUCAGGUCACGAUCUCGCAGUUCGUGAGUUCAAGCCCCGUGUCGAGCU